CCUACGGGUGGCAGCAGUGAGGAAUAUUGGUCAAUGGGCGGAAGCCUGAACCAGCCAAGUAGCGUGCAGGAUGACGGCCCUACGGGUUGUAAACUGCUUUUAUACGGGAAUAACGCGCCUUACGUGUAGGGCUUUGCAUGUACCGUAUGAAUAAGGACCGGCUAAUUCCGUGCCAGCAGCCGCGGUAAUACGGAAGGUCCGGGCGUUAUCCGGAUUUAUUGGGUUUAAAGGGUGCGCAGGCGGAGGCACAAGUCAGCGGUAAAAUCGCGGGGCUCAACCCCGCUCCGCCGUUGAAACUGUGUCCCUUGAGUGCGCGAAGGGUAGGCGGAAUGCGUGGUGUAGCGGUGAAAUGCAUAGAUAUCACGCAGAACUCCGAUCGCGAAGGCAGCCUACCGGCGCGCAACUGACGCUCAUGCACGAAAGCGUGGGUAUCGAACAGGAUUAGAUACCCCAGUAGUC
Molecule: ribosomal RNA, 459 nt
Filed under: uncultured bacterium
Lineage: Bacteria
Description: partial 16S ribosomal RNA
Rfam family: Bacterial small subunit ribosomal RNA
Source: RNAcentral